CCAAUAGCGUAUAUUAAAGUUGUUGCAGUUAAAAAGCUCGUAGUUGAAUUUCGGAAUCUGUCCGUUGGUCGGGCUUUAUUGUCCGUACUGAUGUGAUGGGUUCUUACCUUCUGAAUAACCAGCAUGUCAUUAAUUUGGUGUGUUGGGGAAGCAGGACUAUUACCUUGAAAAAAUUAGAGUGCUCAAAGCAGGCUAGUGCCUGAAUACAUUAGCAUGGAAUAAUAAAAUAGGACGGCAUGGUUCUAUUUUGUUGGUUUCUAGGAUCACCGUAAUGAUUAAUAGGGAUAGUUGGGGGCAUUAGUAUUCAAUUGUCAGAGGUGAAAUUCUUGGAUUUAUUGAAGACUAACUUCUGCGAAAGCAUUUGCCAAGGAUGUUUUCAUUAAUCAAGAACGAAAGUUAGGGGAUCGAAGACGAUCAGAUACCGUCGUAGUCUUAACCAUAAACUAUGCCGACUAGGGAUCGGACGAUGUUAAUUUUUUAAUGACUCGUUCGGCGCCUUACG
RNAcentral lists this ribosomal RNA (502 nucleotides) under uncultured Glomeromycotina. Its description in RNAcentral is "partial small subunit ribosomal RNA". It matches the Rfam family "Eukaryotic small subunit ribosomal RNA", at positions 591 to 1092 of the family's 1831-position model. The record is from RNAcentral. Lineage: Eukaryota; Fungi; Glomeromycota.